AUUGAUUUGUCCCAGCAGUAUAACUGGCCUGCGAGCAUUACGUUUACCUCUUUAAACAUCCUUUCAGUUGUUGCGAUUUUAUCCUCUGUUGGGAAAGAGAUGAAAGGGCUCGGAGAAGCCAAAAUCGCAAGUGUGGCAAGCGGUCUUAUUUUUUGGCGUGAUCUCAUUUGUUUAUAAUGAAACGUUGGUGGAGCUGGCGGGCUCCCUUUCUCAGUUUGAAAUACCGCUGUUUGCCGUUCUGGAGGGUGCGCCUUAUUUCCUUUUUUUAUGUAUGACGGCGGUGCUGUGCCUGGCGAUUUACACGACGACGGUAGCUGGUUUGCUGGGGCUGUCCAGCCGGCUGAUGGCGUUUAUUCAUAUGCCGAGAUGGAUGAUUGUGUUGAUUUUGUUAGUGUUAAUGGUACCUUUUACUUCUUUUGGAUUUUCUGAUUUGAUCGCGUUCUUGUAUCCGAUAUAUGGGAUGCUCAAUUUGUAUUUGUUAGUUUGUCUGCUCUUAUAUCCUAUUUUGAGUAAAUGGAAAUAAGAGGAUGGAUUUCUUUUCGGGUAUCUUGAUUGCUCUUAUGAUCAGUUUUUUUGUACAAUAGAUACAGCAGUUUAGGAAAAGAGGUGAAGGGUCUUGGCGGAUAAAGACUUUGGCCUGAAUGAUAUCGUAGAAAUGAAAAAACCGCAUCCAUGCGGAGCGAACAGUUGGAAAAUUAUACGCAUGGGAAUGGAUAUUCGAAUUAAGUGUGAGGGAUGCUCUCACAGUGUUAUGAUUCCGAGAAGAGAAUUUGAAAGAAAACUAAAAAAAAGUACUAGUCAAGCAUGAGGAGCCUACUUCAUAAAUAGGCCGACACUCAUGCUUUUUCAUAUAGAAGGUAAGGAGAAGACGGCGAUGAGCAAAGUGCAUCAGUCGGCAUGUCCGCUAAAUUGUUGGGACAGCUGCGGCUUUUUGGUGACUGUUGAUGAUGGAAAGGUAACAAAAGUGGACGGAGAUCCAAACCAUCCGAUUACGGAAGGUAAAAUCUGCGGCCGCGGCAGAAUGCUUGAGACAAAAACAAAUUCGCCUGAUCGGCUUCGCUAUCCAAUGAAAAAACAAAAUGGCGAGUUUGUGCGGAUUUCUUGGGAGCGGGCACUUGAUGAAAUUGCCGAUAAACUUCGGGAAAUCAAGGAAACGUCGGAGACGACUGCUGUUUUGCACAGCCAUGAUUAUGCGAAUAACGGUCUGUUAAAAGCGCUUGAUCAGCGUUUUUUUAAUGGAUAUGGAGGCGUGACUGAAAUCGUCGGAAGCAUAUGCUGGGGCUCCGGCAUCGAGGCGCAAAGCUGGGAUUUUGGCCGUUCGUACGGUCACGGCCCGCUUGAUAUUUACAACAGCAAGCAUGUUGUUGUGUGGGGAAGAAAUGUAUCAAGAACAAAUAUGCACUUAUACCAUCACUUGCAGCAGGUGAAAAAGAAGGGCGCCACGAUUACGGUGAUUGAUCCGAUCUUCAACCCGACUGCUAAGCUUGCCGAUCGCUAUAUCUCUGUAAAGCCUGGAAUGGACGGCUGGCUUGCGGCAGCCGUUUUGAAGGUUCUGAUUGAGACGGGAAGAACGGAUGAAACGUUUAUUUCUGAGCAUUCUGUCGGUUUUGAUGAUGUGAAAGAGCUUUUGAAGACCGUUUCUCUGGAAGAGUUAAUUUUGAAAACAGAAACUUCUAUGGAGGAGCUGGAGUAUUUGGCCGGUUUGUAUGCUGAUGGUCCGGUGUCUACUUUUAUGGGGCUUGGCAUGCAGCGAUAUAAAAACGGCGGGGGAACGAUUCGUUGGAUUGAUGCACUUGUUGCGGCAAGCGGAAAUGUCGGAAUUAAGGGCGGCGGCGCGAAUUUCGGAAAUGUCCAGAUUGGCGAGAGCUUUGCAAAAACAAAGCUGACGUUGCCGGAAUUAAAAACAACAUCACGUUCUUUUUCAAUGAUGACGCAGGCUGAAGAAGUGUUGACCGCUGCUGAUCCUGCGAUUGAGAUGAUUAUUGUGACGUGCGGAAAUCCGCUGACUCAGGUGCCGAAUACAAAUAAGGUGAGACAAGCAUUUGAAAAGGUUCCAAUGACGGUCGCGAUUGAUUCCAUUAUGACGGAUACCGCAGAGCUGUGUGAUUAUGUUUUGCCGACUGCCACUGUUUUUGAAGAAGAAGAUAUCUACUAUUCCAGUAUGUAUCAUCAUUAUGUUCAGUACGGGAAGAAGCUUGUGGAGCCGCAGGGUGAAGCGAAAUCGGACAGCUGGAUCUGGUCAGAGCUUGCAAAACGUCUUGGGUUUGGCGAGCUGUUUGAAUACAGCACUCAAGAAUUUUUAGAGAUGGGGCUUUCUUCAUUGGAAGCAGAGGAUGUGACACUUGAGCGUUUAAAAGAAAAAGGCCACCUCCCUCUUCCAGUAAAACAGGUGCCGUGGGAUGAUUAUCAGUUUUUGACGCCGAGUGGAAAAUUUGAAUUUACUUCGUCGCUUGCUGAGCAAAAAGGAUUUAGCGGCUCGCUUCAAUUAAAUAUGCCCGAAGAAUCUGUUUUCCAUAAUGAGGAGUUAGCUGGAAAGUACCCUUAUACGCUCUUAUCCAUUCAUCCGCAGCGUUCCAAUCAUUCACAGCAUGUGCCGUUUAUUGAAAAGCUUCAGCACGUUCAGGUCGAUAUUUCUCCAGAUAUAGCGGCUGAGCAGGAUCUUCAGGAUGGAGACGAGGUUGUCAUCUUUAAUGACCGCGGACGCUUGAAGGGCAAGGUGAAAGUGAUGAAACAGGCUCAUGCGAAGACGAUUAAUAUAGAUGAAGGCAUGUGGGCGGCUUUUGGAGGGUCAGUCAAUGCACUGACAAAUGAUACAAAUUCUGAUAAUGGAAUGGGAAGUACGCUUUUUGACUGUUUAGUAGGCUUGAAAAAAGCAUAAUCAAAGGGAUUGGCAGGCUGAAAAUGCUUUUUUGUCAGCUUGUCUUUUCC
This 2928-nucleotide ribosomal RNA is filed under the name Bacillus subtilis subsp. subtilis str. BSP1. RNAcentral describes it as "23S ribosomal RNA". The record is from RNAcentral. Lineage: Bacteria; Bacillati; Bacillota; Bacilli; Caryophanales; Bacillaceae.